Molecule: ribosomal RNA, 253 nt
Filed under: uncultured bacterium
Lineage: Bacteria
Description: partial 16S ribosomal RNA
Rfam family: Bacterial small subunit ribosomal RNA
Source: RNAcentral
UACGUAGGGGGCAAGCGUUGUCCGGAUUUAUUGGGCGUAAAGAGCGUGUAGGCGGCCAUACAGGUCAGCUGUGAAAACUCGAGGCUCAACCUCGAGACGUCGGUGGAAACCGUUUGGCUAGAGUCCGGAAGAGGAGAGUGGAAUUCCCGGUGUAGCGGUGAAAUGCGCAGAUAUCGGGAAGAACACCCGUGGCGAAGGCGGCUCUCUGGGACGGUACUGACGCUGAGACGCGAAAGCGUGGGGAGCGAACAGG